GAUGAACGCUGGCGGCGUGCCUAAUACAUGCAAGUCGAGCGAACAGAUGAGGAGCUUGCUCCUCUGACGUUAGCGGCGGACGGGUGAGUAACACGUGGAUAACCUACCUAUAAGACUGGGAUAACUUCGGGAAACCGGAGCUAAUACCGGAUAAUAUAUUGAACCGCAUGGUUCAAUAGUGAAAGACGGUUUUGCUGUCACUUAUUGAUGGAUCCGCGCCGCAUUAGCUAGUUGGUAAGGUAACGGCUUACCAAGGCAACGAUGCGUAGCCGACCUGAGAGGGUGAUCGGCCACACUGGAACUGAGACACGGUCCAGACUCCUACGGGAGGCAGCAGUAGGGAAUCUUCCGCAAUGGGCGAAAGCCUGACGGAGCAACGCCGCGUGAGUGAUGAAGGUCUUCGGAUCGUAAAACUCUGUUAUUAGGGAAGAACAAAUGUGUAAGUAACUAUGCACGUCUUGACGGUACCUAAUCAGAAAGCCACGGCUAACUACGUG
This 497-nucleotide ribosomal RNA is filed under the name uncultured bacterium. RNAcentral's name for it is "partial 16S ribosomal RNA". It matches the Rfam family "Bacterial small subunit ribosomal RNA", at positions 28 to 507 of the family's 1533-position model. The record is from RNAcentral.